Molecule: ribosomal RNA, 422 nt
Filed under: uncultured bacterium
Lineage: Bacteria
Description: partial 16S ribosomal RNA
Rfam family: Bacterial small subunit ribosomal RNA
Source: RNAcentral
AAUAUUUGACGAUGGGUGCAACCCUGAUCCAGCCAUGCCGCGUGUGUGAAGAAGGUCUUCGGUAUGUAAAUCACUUUAAGUUGGGAGAAAGGGCUUUAUGUUAAUACCCUGAAGUUUUGACUGUACCAACCGAUCAAGCACCGGCUAACUCAGUGCCAUCAGCCCCGGUACUGCAGAGGGUGCAAGCGUUAAUCGGAAUUACUGGGCGUAACGGGAGCGUAGGUGGUUCAGUAAGAUGGGUGGGAAAUCACCGGGCUUAACCUGGGAACUGCUUUCAUAACUGCUGAGCUAGAGUACGGUAGAGGGUAGUGGAAUUUCCUGUGUAGCGGUGAAAUGCGUAGAUAUAGGAAGGAACACCAGUGGCGAAGGCGACUACCUGGACUGAUACUGACACUGAGGUGCGAAAGAGUGGGGAGCAAACA